RNAcentral lists this ribosomal RNA (929 nucleotides) under Cortinarius saturniorum. Its description in RNAcentral is "partial large subunit ribosomal RNA". It matches the Rfam family "Eukaryotic large subunit ribosomal RNA", at positions 39 to 953 of the family's 3401-position model. Lineage: Eukaryota; Fungi; Basidiomycota; Agaricomycetes; Agaricales; Cortinariaceae. The record is from RNAcentral.
CAUAUCAAUAAGCGGAGGGAAAAGAAACUAACAAGGAUUCCCCUAGUAACUGCGAGUGAAGCGGGAAAAGCUCAAAUUUAAAAUCUGUCAGUCUUUGACUGUCCGAGUUGUAAUCUAGAGAAGCGUUAUCCGCGCUGGACCGUGUACAAGUCUCCUGGAAUGGAGCGUCAUAGAGGGUGAGAAUCCCGUCUUUGACACGGACUGCCAGGGCUUUGUGAUACGCUCUCAAAGAGUCGAGUUGUUUGGGAAUGCAGCUCAAAAUGGGUGGUAAAUUCCAUCUAAAGCUAAAUAUUGGCGAGAGACCGAUAGCGAACAAGUACCGUGAGGGAAAGAUGAAAAGAACUUUGGAAAGAGAGUUAAACAGUACGUGAAAUUGCUGAAAGGGAAACGCUUGAAGUCAGUCGCGUUGUCCAGGGAUCAACCUUGCUUUUGCUUGGUGUACUUUCUGGUUGACGGGUCAGCAUCAAUUUUGACUAUUGGAAAAAGAUUAAGGGAAUGUGGCAUCUUUGGAUGUGUUAUAGCCCUUGGUUGCAUACAAUGGUUGGGAUUGAGGAACUCAGCACGCCGCAAGGCCGGGUUUUAACCACGUACGUGCUUAGGAUGCUGGCAUAAUGGCUUUAAUCGACCCGUCUUGAAACACGGACCAAGGAGUCUAACAUGCCUGCGAGUGUUUGGGUGGAAAACCCGAGCGCGUAAUGAAAGUGAAAGUUGAGAUCCCUGUCGUAGGGAGCAUCGACGCCCGGACCAGACCUUUUGUGACGGUUCCGCGGUAGAGCAUGUAUGUUGGGACCCGAAAGAUGGUGAACUAUGCCUGAAUAGGGUGAAGCCAGAGGAAACUCUGGUGGAGGCUCGUAGCGAUUCUGACGUGCAAAUCGAUCGUCAAAUUUGGGUAUAGGGGGCGAAAGACUAAUCGAACCAUCUAGUAGCUG